UACCUCAAAAACUGCUAAAACCUCUCAAACCCAAACUGAUUAACCUUAGUGGAAUUACUUCAAGCACUUGGUAUGCAACAAAACCCAAGAAAGAGAAUAAAAAUCUUAAUGGGUAUCUCUGAGUAGUCUCAUUCUUCACUGAACACAACACAAAACCAAGAAUCCAAGACCAAGAAGAGCACAACACUUUUGACUAGAACUAAUAAGAGAGAUACUACACACAUAGCUCUCUCUUUACCAAAAGCUCAUAACCAAAAACAUUAAAAGAUAAACCCUUUUCACUAAAAAUCACAUUCUUGAAUCAUGAUGAUAUAUCAUUAUAAAAGCUCAUAUCUCUAACCUUUUAACUUUAAACCCACAACGACUGAACCUCCCAAAUGUGGAUAAUCUCAUCAUCAUAUUAUAUGAAGGAAAAUGAACCACAAAAAGGUACAAUUUGGGUUUUACAAAAGUUCAAUUUUUUUCUUAAAUCUCUAAACAAUUUGGUACUAAUUAUUAUUAUUAUUAAUUUGAUGCACAACAAACAGAGGGAUGAAAAAAGAAAAAGAAAAAAACAACAACUGGAACUAGAGAGAAAGAAGGCGUGGUAAAAAGGUCGGCAAAUCCUCGUCUGAUUUAUGGUUGAGACUUGAGACUUUGAGAGGUCGCAUUCCCCAAGAGAUGCUCAC
This 668-nucleotide long non-coding RNA is filed under the name Panax ginseng (ginseng). Its description in RNAcentral is "long non-coding RNA (PGIN_LNC001605)". Lineage: Eukaryota; Viridiplantae; Streptophyta; Magnoliopsida; Apiales; Araliaceae. The record is from RNAcentral.